GGCUGGGUCCUGAGCGGCGAAAGGCCGUGAACGAGUCAGGUCCGGAAGGAAGCAGCUAUAAGCGGACACUUUCGGGUGCCUCAGGGGUGCCUGGUCGCG
RNAcentral lists this signal recognition particle RNA (99 nucleotides) under Chloroflexota bacterium. RNAcentral describes it as "signal recognition particle sRNA small type". It matches the Rfam family "Bacterial small signal recognition particle RNA". From Rfam's summary of the family: The signal recognition particle (SRP) is a universally conserved ribonucleoprotein involved in the co-translational targeting of proteins to membranes. Archaeal SRP consists of a 7S RNA and homologues of the eukaryotic SRP19 and SRP54 proteins. The record is from RNAcentral. Lineage: Bacteria; Bacillati; Chloroflexota.